GGCGGACGGGUGAGUAACGCGUGAGAAUCUGCCUAUGGGUUCGGGAUAACGACUGGAAACGGUCGCUAAUACCGGAUGUGCCGGAAGGUAAAAGCUUUAGUGCCUGUAGAUGAGCUCGCGUCAGAUUAGCUAGUUGGUGAGGUAAGGGCUCACCAAGGCGACGAUCUGUAGCUGGUCUGAGAGGAUGACCAGCCACACUGGGACUGAGACACGGCCCAGACUCCUACGGGAGGCAGCAGUGGGGAAUUUUCCGCAAUGGGCGAAAGCCUGACGGAGCAAGACCGCGUGAGGGAAGAAGGUCUGUGGAUUGUAAACCUCUUUUGACAGGGAAGAACGAUGACGGUACCUGUCGAAUCAGCCUCGGCUAACUCCGUGCCAGCAGCCGCGGUAAUACGGAGGAGGCAAGCGUUAUCCGGAAUUAUUGGGCGUAAAGCGUCCGUAGGUGGGGGUCCAAGUCAGUUGUUAAAGAGUGGAGCUUAACUCCAUAAGGGCAAUUGAAACUGGGUUUCUAGAGUGCGAUAGGGGCAAGGGGAAUUCCCAGUGUAGCGGUGAAAUGCGUAGAUAUUGGGAAGAACACCGGUGGCGAAAGCGCCUUGCUGGGUCUGCACUGACACUGAGGGACGAAAGCUAGGGGAGCGAAAGGGAUUAGAUACCCCUGUAGUCC
RNAcentral lists this ribosomal RNA (664 nucleotides) under uncultured bacterium. RNAcentral's name for it is "bacterial SSU rRNA". It matches the Rfam family "Bacterial small subunit ribosomal RNA", at positions 97 to 796 of the family's 1533-position model. The record is from RNAcentral.